ACCGUUUGUGUAUGGGAUCUGAAUUUUUAAUUUUUAACAACUUUUUCGCUCAUUUAUGGAUUUUAAAAAUUAAAAAAGUUUUGGAAUGCUUAGGAUUUUCAUAUUUUCCCAUUUAAAUAUCUUUUUAAAAUGAAUAUCCGUUUUAAAUGACAAAAGAUUUUAAUAGCGGCGUAGCGAUCCUCCAAACAUUUUGAAGAAACACUGUAAGUUAAGCGUUCAUAAUUAAUCCAUUUAAUUUCGAAUUUAUAAUCAAAAGUAAUCAAUAAAUUGCUUGUUUUAUACACUUUCCAUUGAUCAAAAAAUUAUUGAUAUUAUUUGUGUUUUAAGAAAGUUUAAGCCGUUUGAAAAACACCACUGUUUACAAAAAACAUGGACGCUCGGCGUCGGCCCACCCGGUCUUUGUCUUAUCAGUUCUAAAAAUAGAAAAUACAAUGGAUUUGUUUACAAACACGAUCACUCCUAUAAGUCUGUCUUUUUACCCGGAAGUGAAUCCAAAACAUACCGAGAGAAAUUUAUGAAAUUUAUCUUGUGGCCACUAAACACAGAUGAUUUCAUUAUGCCUGUGUAUUUAAUAUAAAAUGACCAGUUGGGUUGUCACAAAGAUUAUUGAAGGCAGGCAGCUUCUUACUCAAGGUGACCAGGAUUCAUCAAAUUAUUUCAUUGUCCAUAGUAAGCAUUAGUAUGGAAAAAUACAUGUAGCUAUGAUAAUUAAUAAAUUUGAUGCAGACUUAUAGAUGCCUGCAUAUGUCACAUCAUUUCCCGAAAUGUCCCCUCUUACAGUAGUAGCAAAGGUAUUUUAAAAGGAAAUAUGUAGAUGUCCGGUAACCGGACGCCUACCCUGCAUUCUAGCUGUCCGGCAACAAGACGACUAGCCUCUCCGCGAAUGUUUUUCUAGCUGUUCGGCGAUCAUUUUAUAUAUGAAUACUGUAAUGAAUAAAUUUAUUGUAUCAUAUUUUUUUUGGCAUACUAAGGUUUGAAUAUUCACAUGUAAGGCUUAUUCAGACAAUAUUUUAAAAUUGAUUACCAGACGCCUAGAAAACCCCUAUAGGAUAGGAUAGGCUAGGCGUCCUGUUACCGGUUGGCUAAAACACUGGCUAUAUAUAGGUUUCUGGUUACCGGAUGUCUAGAUGCUUCCAUUUAUAAAAUGGUAACUGUUUUUGCUGUGGGUCUCAUAAGUCAUGUUAUUUCUGUCUGGUGACUACUCUCUUUCCAUUAUUGUUGAUUCAGAAUGUUUUGUAACAGGAUGAUUGUAAUAUGGAUAGUGGGAAUUUAUGCUAUAUAAUGAAAAUCUUUUUAUUUUUUAAAUUUUUGAGCCUUGCUGUGUGUAAAAUAAUUUAUGAUCCGUUAAAAAAUAGAUUCAUAGUAUAAUAACUUUUAAAGUAUUUUGUGGUAAGUUAAUGAAACCUUUCACAAUCACAUUAUUAAUUAAGUAUUCAGUUUUUGAUUUUUAGUGAUGUUUACAGUACAUGUAUUAUAUCUUCUUUCAGAUAAUAUUCAUUGUUCCUUUGAUGGUUCAUUCCACUACAGCUGGUUCAUAUACCCUACAACAGCCAGGAAAUUGGUCUGUUAACUUUAAGAUCUGAAGAAAAUGUAACAUAUUUUGGAUGUGCUUUGAGGAAUCAGGAAGGCAAGUGUUUCCUCUUGUUUAUGAAAGAAACUCAGUUGGUAAAGGGGCAGACAACUUGUGAGCAUGGUACAUCACUACCUGUAUUGGUAUUCCAUUUUGACAAUGCUGCUAGCUAGAAUAGAAAUAACAUCUUGCUGUGGUAUGGUCUGUGGAGAGUUUUACUAGGAUAUCACAGAUCGAUUGAAUAUUCAACAAUGAUCACAGACCAUGCAAAGUUUGAAUAUGACUUGCACUUUUGAAUUUAGAAGAAUCUGUGGAGGAGGGUGAAUGCUGAGACCUUUAAUAAUACAUGAUCUUGCUGACACAGUGUGUCAGUCAUCAAAGAAAGAUCGUAACAUUGCACAGUUGGUCAACAAUGAUUUAAAUCCUGUCACAUUCUACCAGUGGAGAAAUAUCUUAUCACAAUAUUUUAAACUUUUGAAGAAGAUAACUAAGUAUUACCACUUUACCAUGUCUGCAGAAACACUUGAUUGUUAGUGUUAAAAGUGACAGUCCAGUUGAGACAGUUAACUUACUAAAAUAUACUCCCCCUUUCCAAACGAAUAUUACUGACAUGGAAUGACACAAGCCUGACAAUGAUACCUGUAUGAACUCCUAAGAGAAUAGUAUAUGUCUGAAAAGUCAAAGGAUUCUGUUUGUCCCAGACCACUUGAACUGAAAACUGAAAUUGUGAUUGACCAGGAUUUUUCUGAGAACUGAAAAAAGGAAGUGAAUAUAAAAGAUAGAAAUUGUUGUUGAAUUCAAACGUUUUAAUACACAACACUUUAGCCUGUUUUGCUGUUCAUAUAGAUGUGUUUAGCUGUUAAGGUUAAACAUCAAGUAAAGGUUGUAGUUUCAGUUACCUACUUUAAAGUAUUGGCUGGAAAUAAAUAUUUACUUUUCACCAGAGCUUGUAGCAGUGUAACCUUCAUCAAAAGUUAAGCUAUUGUGUUAAUUAUUAAAGUAUUUUUAGAAAAAAGGAAUUUAGUAUGUAUGUUGCCAUGGUAACAUAAUUCAAAUUAUAUUUCAUUGAAAUUAUGGAUUUGUAUUUCAAUAAGGGAUCUACAGUAUAUAAUGUAAUGGUAAAAGAAUGUUCACUUUCUUCAGUAUUGUCAGUUAUAACUAGCCAGUGAAAAAAACAGAUUAUGAGGAAAGGGAUGACUGAAAUGUUUAUUCUUACGAUAACUACUUUCGUUAUUUUAAAGUUUUUAUGUGAAAUUUUCAGAUUUCUUUCCUGAAUACUUAUACUUUGAAAUAUUUAACUUAUUAGAAAUACUUUUUUAAAAUAAGCUCUUGUUUUUAGGUAUUAUUGUAGGAAAAGGGAAUUUAAAACAUAUGUCGCCAUGGUAACACAAUUUUCUUAGAAAAUAUGGAAAAUUUUUAAUUAGCUGUACUUUCUAGUAUUCUACUUUAAAAUAAGUACAAACAAUAAAAAAAAUCAAUAGUAAUAUAUGUUUCAUUUAUUUCAAAAUAGUCAUUUAUUACCAGCAGGUAAAAGGCAAGUUAUGAAGAAACAAUGACAGAAAUGUCUUAUUCUUAUAGUUAUUACUCAUGUUACAAACGCUGUCAUAAAACAAAACAUUUUAAUUUUUUUAACAUGGAAUUUUGAGAUAAUAUUUUUGAAUACACACCAUUUGAUAAUAUUCAAGUUAUCUGAAACACUUUUCCAAAUUUAGCUCUUUUUUAAAGUAUUAUUAUAGAAAAUAGGAUCGAAUGCAUAUGUUGCCAUGGUAACAUAAUUUAAUAAUGUUUUUAUAGAAAAUGUGAAGGACUUUAGCCAGCUAGAUGUUUGCACUUUAAGUGACUAUCUAAAUAUUCUUUGUAAAAGAAGAUUCAUUUAUUUAAAAAUAGCCAGUGAUUUCCAAUAAGUGAAAACACAAACCGAAGAAACAACGACUGAAAUAGUUUAUUCUUGUGGUUAUUACCCGUGUUACGAAAUCUGUCAUAAAACCAAACAUUUUAUAUCUUUUCACAUAAAGUUUUCAAAUUUUACUUUCGAAUACAUAUACUUCGGAAUAUUCAACUUAUAAGAAACAUUAUUUCAAAUUAAGCUUUUAUUUCUAAGUUCUAUUGUAGAAAAAGGAAUUUAAUGCAUAUGUUGCCAUGGUAACACAAUUUGAAUAAUGUUUUCAUAGAAAAUAUGAAAGAUUUUAAUUAGCUGUAUUUUUGUGUUUUAAGUAAGCAUCAGAAGAAUAAAAUUUCAUAGUAAAAGAAGGUUCAUUUUUCCCAAAAUAGUCAUUUAUUACCAGUAGCUAAAAGACAAGUUAUGAAGAAACAAUGACAAAUCUAACUUAUUCUUAUGGUUAUUACCCAUGUUACAAAAACUUGUCAUAAAACCAAACAUUCUUAAUAUUUUCAUGUGAAAUUUUCAGAAUAUUUUUAUAAAUACAUAGGCCUUCUAAUAUUUUACUUUUUAAAGUCCUUUCUUUAAGUGAACAAGUUUUUUUUUUUUAAAGUUUUAUCAUAGAAAAGAGAAUUUAAUAUAUUUGUUGCCAUGGUAACAGAAUUUGAGAAAUAUUUUUAUAGAAAUUGUUGUAGAUUUUAGUUGAUUAUCAUUUUGUGUAAUAAGAAGGAAUCUAAUAUAUAUCAUGCAAUUGUAACAGAAGAUAAAUUUAUUUCAGAAUUGUUAGCCAUUACCAGUAAGUGAGAAAUAAACUAGAAGGAAAGAAUAACUGAAAUGUUCUGUUUUUAUUUUUAAUAUCUAUGUUACAAAAUCUGUCAUAAAACUGACAAUUUU
This is a long non-coding RNA of Mercenaria mercenaria, 4343 nucleotides long. RefSeq lists it as uncharacterized. NCBI's taxonomy places the organism in Eukaryota, Metazoa, Mollusca, Bivalvia, Venerida, Veneridae. The record is from RefSeq and is a predicted model, not a curated record. The transcript is spliced from 3 exons.